This is a long non-coding RNA of Spinacia oleracea (spinach), 1030 nucleotides long. RefSeq lists it as uncharacterized. The transcript has 5 exons. The record is from RefSeq and is a predicted model, not a curated record. NCBI's taxonomy places the organism in Eukaryota, Viridiplantae, Streptophyta, Magnoliopsida, Caryophyllales, Amaranthaceae.
GAAAAAACGCCUAUUGUAGCCCCCUUGUUGAGGGGGGCAUACAUAAGUGAGCCUCAAUAACCACCCAGUCAACGCGGGUCAAAUAUUUUACUAACAGAUUGGGGCGGGCUUUUGUGGGGUUCGCUUCUAUAGAUACUGUUGAAGGGGGCUUUUGAUUGCCCGCCUCAAUAGACACUAGUCUAAAGGGGCGGGCUUAUGUUUGUUCGCUUCAACAGGUCUUCACAAUCUACUGCGUUUUAAUUCUAUCUCCUCCUCAUUUCAUCUGUUUCAUUUCUCUCUCUUCUCUUCGCUCUCCUCUCUCCUCUCUCUCCUGGUUCAAAACUCCUCAAACCCGCUAUUUCGUCAACAAAUCGGGCUACCUCUCCUCACAGUCGUUGGCUUCCAUGGAAGCUUUUCCUCCGCCUUCCAUGGAAGAGUUACAAAGCUAGGGUAUCUCCGCGACCUCUCUCCCUCGACUCUUCAAACUCGUCGAUUUGUCUCCCUCCUCAAGCUAGGGUAUAUCGAUUCGACCGUCAUCUACUUAGCAUUCUCGAGGAAGACGGCGUCGUUCUCCAAAUGAGGUGCGGCUCGGGUUUCGGUAGGUCGUGGGUGGUCGGAUGAGGCGACGCAAGCAAGGUGAUGGCUUGCUGGUGGCUCUGAUCUUGCGGUGCUAUAUAUCCAAGUCCUGCAGCAUCUAAAGCUGAGUUAUAUGUAGUCAUGACCAGUAUGGUUUAUUUCAGGAUCACAACCAUGCUCAAUGUGGAAUUACAGAGUGUAGUAAACUGAAGGAUUUGAAGACUGCAUUUCUGACAGAUGACGCAACAACAAUUUGUUUAGAGAUUCUGGAGAAAGGAGAUCUUCAAGUUGCAGGGAAAGAAAGGGAGGCUCAAUUGUCACUUCAGUUUCGUGAUAUUGCCACCAUUGUCAUGGAAAACACCAUUAAUCCUGACACGAAACGCCCUUACUCGAUAACUAUGAUCGAACGUUUGAUGCAUGACAUCCAUUUUGCUGUUGAUCCUUAUAACAGUUCCAAAAAACAGGUUUAGCACUG